This 413-nucleotide ribosomal RNA is filed under the name uncultured bacterium. RNAcentral describes it as "bacterial SSU rRNA". It matches the Rfam family "Bacterial small subunit ribosomal RNA", at positions 352 to 782 of the family's 1533-position model. The record is from RNAcentral.
CAGUGGGGAAUAUUGGACAAUGGGCGAAAGCCUGAUCCAGCCAUGCCGCGUGAGUGAUGAAGGCCUUAGGGUUGUAAAGCUCUUUCGCCAGGGACGAUAAUGACGGUACCUGGAUAAGAAGCCCCGGCUAACUUCGUGCCAGCAGCCGCGGUAAUACGAAGGGGGCUAGCGUUGUUCGGAAUUACUGGGCGUAAAGCGUAUGUAGGCGGAUCUUUAAGUCAGGGGUGAAAUCCCGAGGCUCAACCUCGGAACUGCCUUUGAUACUGGGGAUCUUGAGUCCGGGAGAGGUGAGUGGAACUCCGAGUGUAGAGGUGAAAUUCGUAGAUAUUCGGAAGAACACCAGUGGCGAAGGCGGCUCACUGGCCCGGUACUGACGCUGAAAUACGAAAGCGUGGGGAGCAAACAGGAUUAGA